CUCAGGACGAACGCUGGCGGCGUGCCUAACACAUGCAAGUCGAGGGGCAGCGGGGAGGAAGCUUGCUUCUCCGCCGGCGACCGGCGCACGGGUGAGUAACACGUAUGCAACCUGCCCCUGUCAGGGGGACAACCCGCCGAGAGGCGGGCUAAACCCACGUACAUGCCACCGGGGCAUCCCGGAGGCAGGAAAGGCUUCGGCCGGACAGGGAUGGGCAUGCGGCGCAUUAGGCAGUAGGCGGGGUAACGGCCCACCUAACCGACGAUGCGUAGGGGUUCUGAGAGGAAGGUCCCCCACACUGGUACUGAGACACGGACCAGACUCCUACGGGAGGCAGCAGUGAGGAAUAUUGGUCAAUGGUCGGGAGACUGAACCAGCCAAGCCGCGUGAGGGAGGAAGGUACAGAGUAUCGUAAACCUCUUUUGUCAGGGAACAAAGGCGGGGACGUGUCCCCGGAUGAGUGUACCUGAAGAAAAAGCAUCGGCUAACUCCGUGCCAGCAGCCGCGGUAAUACGGAGGAUGCGAGCGUUAUCCGGAUUUAUUGGGUUUAAAGGGUGCGCAGGCGGUCUGUUAAGUCAGCGGUCAAAGCCCGGGGCUCAACCCCGGCCCGCCGUUGAAACUGGCAGUCUCGAGUUGGAGAGAAGUAUGCGGAAUGCGCGGUGUAGCGGUGAAAUGCAUAGAUAUCGCGCAGAACUCCGAUUGCGAAGGCAGCAUGCCGGCUCCACACUGACGCUGAGGCACGAAAGCGUGGGUAUCGAACAGGAUUAGAUACCCUGGUAGUCCACGCAGUAAACGAUGAAUGCUGGCUGUCCGGGGGGAUUGACCCCUGGGUGGCGAAGCGAAAGCGAUAAGCAUUCCACCUGGGGAGUACGCCGGCAACGGUGAAACUCAAAGGAAUUGACGGGGGCCCGCACAAGCGGAGGAACAUGUGGUUUAAUUCGAUGAUACGCGAGGAACCUUACCCGGGCUCAAACGGGGAGUGGCGCAGGCAGAGACGCCUGUUUCCCACGGGACACUCCCCGAGGUGCUGCAUGGUUGUCGUCAGCUCGUGCCGUGAGGUGUCGGCUUAAGUGCCAUAACGAGCGCAACCCCCGCGUGCAGUUGCUAACAGUCAACGCUGAGGACUCUGCACGGACUGCCGGCGCAAGCCGCGAGGAAGGCGGGGAUGACGUCAAAUCAGCACGGCCCUUACGUCCGGGGCGACACACGUGUUACAAUGGGUGGUACAGCGGGAAGCCAGGCGGCGACGCCGAGCGGAACCCGAAAUCCACUCUCAGUUCGGAUCGGAGUCUGCAACCCGACUCCGUGAAGCUGGAUUCGCUAGUAAUCGCGCAUCAGCCAUGGCGCGGUGAAUACGUUCCCGGGCCUUGCACACAACGCCCGUCA
This 1386-nucleotide ribosomal RNA is filed under the name uncultured bacterium. RNAcentral's name for it is "16S ribosomal RNA". It matches the Rfam family "Bacterial small subunit ribosomal RNA", at positions 23 to 1399 of the family's 1533-position model. The record is from RNAcentral.